RNAcentral lists this ribosomal RNA (414 nucleotides) under uncultured microorganism. RNAcentral describes it as "bacterial SSU rRNA". It matches the Rfam family "Archaeal small subunit ribosomal RNA", at positions 330 to 745 of the family's 1478-position model. The record is from RNAcentral.
GCGCAGCAGUCGCGAAAACUUCACACUGUGCGAAAGCACGAUGAGGGAAUCCCAAGUGCUUGCACGUAAGUGUAAGCUGUUUCUCUGUCUAAAACGCAGAGAGAGUAAGGGCUGGGUAAGACGGGUGCCAGCCGCCGCGGUAAUACCCGCAGCUCAAGUGGUGACCGUUAUUAUUGGGCCUAAAACGUCCGUAGCCGGUUUAAUAAAUGCCUGGGUAAAUUGUGUAGCUUAACUAUACGAAUUCCGGGUAGACUGUUAAACUUGAGACCGGGAGAAGUUAGAGGUACUCCUGGGGUAGAGGUGAAAUUCUGUAAUCCUAGGGGGACCACCAGUGGCGAAGGCGUCUAACUAGAACGGGUCUGACGGUGAGGGACGAAGCCCUGGGGCGCAAACGGGAUUAGAUACCCGUGUAGU